GAUGAACGCUGGCGGCGUGCCUAAUACAUGCAAGUCGAGCGAACAGACGAGGAGCUUUCUCCUCUGACGUUAGCGGCGGACGGGUGAGUAACACGUGGAUAACCUACCUAUAAGACUGGGAUAACUUCGGGAAACCGGAGCUAAUACCGGAUAAUAUAUUUAACCGCAUGGUUCAAUAGUGAAAGACGGUUUUGCUGUCACUUAUAGAUGGAUCCGCGCCGCAUUAGCUAGUUGGUAAGGUAACGGCUUACCAAGGCAACGAUGCGUAGCCGACCUGAGAGGGUGAUCGGCCACACUGGAACUGAGACACGGUCCAGACUCCUACGGGAGGCAGCAGUAGGGAAUCUUCCGCAAUGGGCGAAAGCUUGACGGAGCAACGCCGCGUGAGUGAUGAAGGUCUUCGGAUCGUAAAACUCUGUUAUUAGGGAAGAACAAAUGUGUAAGUAACUAUGCACGUCUUGACGGUACCUAAUCAGAAAGCCACGGCUAACUACGUG
This 497-nucleotide ribosomal RNA is filed under the name uncultured bacterium. RNAcentral describes it as "partial 16S ribosomal RNA". It matches the Rfam family "Bacterial small subunit ribosomal RNA", at positions 28 to 507 of the family's 1533-position model. The record is from RNAcentral.